RNAcentral lists this ribosomal RNA (474 nucleotides) under Streptococcus sp. oral taxon C08. RNAcentral's name for it is "bacterial SSU rRNA". It matches the Rfam family "Bacterial small subunit ribosomal RNA", at positions 28 to 487 of the family's 1533-position model. Lineage: Bacteria; Bacillati; Bacillota; Bacilli; Lactobacillales; Streptococcaceae. The record is from RNAcentral.
GACGAACGCUGGCGGCGUGCCUAAUACAUGCAAGUAGAACGCUGAAGCUUGGUGCUUGCACCGAGCGGAUGAGUUGCGAACGGGUGAGUAACGCGUAGGUAACCUGCCUGGUAGCGGGGGAUAACUAUUGGAAACGAUAGCUAAUACCGCAUAAGAGUAGAUGUUGCAUGACAUUUGCUUAAAAGGUGCAAUUGCAUCACUACCAGAUGGACCUGCGUUGUAUUAGCUAGUUGGUGAGGUAACGGCUCACCAAGGCAACGAUACAUAGCCGACCUGAGAGGGUGAUCGGCCACACUGGGACUGAGACACGGCCCAGACUCCUACGGGAGGCAGCAGUAGGGAAUCUUCGGCAAUGGACGGAAGUCUGACCGAGCAACGCCGCGUGAGUGAAGAAGGUUUUCGGAUCGUAAAGCUCUGUUGUAAGAGAAGAACGAGUGUGAGAGUGGAAAGUCACACUGUGACGUAUCUACCAGA